Molecule: long non-coding RNA, 831 nt
Organism: Helianthus annuus (common sunflower)
Lineage: Eukaryota; Viridiplantae; Streptophyta; Magnoliopsida; Asterales; Asteraceae
Exons: 4
Source: RefSeq, a predicted model, not a curated record
GCCGCCGCAGUCAGAUUAUAAUCGAUGGUUACUGCUUUAUCUUUCCUGGUUGAUGCAAUCUGGCCUCCCUAUAUAGCAAAAUCAUCAGGUGUUGUAGAACGAUCGUUGGCUGUUCAGAGGAUUUCGGAAGACAAUUGGAAGCAUCAACAAAUCAGGAAUUGAAUCAAAGAAUUCCUCAUUUUAAUCUUAAAUCCAAGAUCCUUUGUACUAAAAAAAAUGGCAACAAGUCUUCAUCUCAUCAGGCUCAUUCGACUCAAAGAACCGGUUACACUGCUAAAAAAGUGGUCACUGGCCAUCGUACAUCGCCAAAAUUGUUAAGGUUUGGUAAUAAGAUGAUGGCUAAGGUUAGGUGGUAUUACCGACCUGAGGACACAGAAGACGGCAGGAGGCUGUUCCAUGGAGAAAAGGGUUCGGUAAUGAGAUGAUGGCUAAGAUUAGAUGGUGUUACCGGCCUGAGGACACAGAAGAGGUAGGAGGGUUUUCCAUGGAGAAAAGGGUUCGGUAAUAAGAUGAUGGCUAAGAUUAGAUGGUAUUACCGGCCUGAGGACACAGAAGACGGCAGGAGGCCGUUCCAUGGAGAAAGAGAGGUUUUUUAGCAAUCAUUUCGAUUUGCGAAGCACAGAGAUCAUUCAAGGAGAGUGUAGUUCAUACUUUACAGAAGUAUAUAGCACACAAUUGAAUCACAAUCGAGUUUUAACGGCGUAGUUUCUAAGCUUUAGUUGAAUAACAAGUGUACAUAAAUGAAUCUUGAAGAUUAUUAAUUAAAGUUGUAGUUAUCUUUAUUUUUUUAUGAUAAAUUUCUUAACAUUUGUGGAUUGAUGAUGAAAAACG